UACGUAGGUGGCAAGCGUUGUCCGGAAUUAUUGGGCGUAAAGCGCGCGCAGGCGGUUAUGUAAGUCUGAUGUUAAAGCCCGGGGCUCAACCUCGGUUCGCAUUGGAAACUGUGUAACUUGAGUGCAGAAGAGGAAAGUGGUAUUCCACGUGUAGCGGUGAAAUGCGUAGAUAUGUGGAGGAACACCAGUGGCGAAGGCGCCUUUCUGGUCUGUAACUGACGCUGAGUCGCGAAAGCGUGGGGAGCAAACAGG
RNAcentral lists this ribosomal RNA (252 nucleotides) under uncultured bacterium. RNAcentral describes it as "partial 16S ribosomal RNA". It matches the Rfam family "Bacterial small subunit ribosomal RNA", at positions 524 to 776 of the family's 1533-position model. The record is from RNAcentral.